GUGCUGGUGGUGCAGAGGUUAGCACGCGACCACAUAUAGAGGCUAUAGUCCUCAAAGCGGCCGUUGUGGGUUCGAGUCCCAGACCCAGCGACC
Characodon lateralis is the source of this 93-nucleotide non-coding RNA. The record is from the annotation of a GenBank genome assembly. Lineage: Eukaryota; Metazoa; Chordata; Actinopteri; Cyprinodontiformes; Goodeidae.